Small nucleolar RNA from Cephalotus follicularis, 107 nucleotides. It matches the Rfam family "Plant small nucleolar RNA R71". From Rfam's summary of the family: R71 is a member of the C/D box family of snoRNAs containing the C (UGAUGA) and D (CUGA) box motifs. Multiple nearly identical copies of this snoRNA have been identified in Arabidopsis, and it is thought to function as a 2'-O-ribose methylation guide for 18S ribosomal RNA. NCBI's taxonomy places the organism in Eukaryota, Viridiplantae, Streptophyta, Magnoliopsida, Oxalidales, Cephalotaceae. The record is from Rfam.
AGUCCAUGGUGAGGGCAUUCUUGGAAUAAGUCUUUGAAUCUCUCAAUAAGUUUGAAGAAUGAUUCAUAUGGCUUUUGUCUAAAUUGAAGAAUGUCAUUUAGGAUUUU